GGGCGGGUGGCGUAAUGGCAACGUGUCGCUUUCCGGUAACCUGGAGACUGGCGAAGAUUGCGGGUUCGAGUCCCGUCCUGCUCG
This is a non-coding RNA of Whalleya microplaca, 84 nucleotides long. NCBI's taxonomy places the organism in Eukaryota, Fungi, Ascomycota, Sordariomycetes, Xylariales, Xylariaceae. The record is from the annotation of a GenBank genome assembly.